Molecule: long non-coding RNA, 1516 nt
Organism: Felis catus (domestic cat)
Lineage: Eukaryota; Metazoa; Chordata; Mammalia; Carnivora; Felidae
Exons: 3
Source: RefSeq, a predicted model, not a curated record
CCGACUGCGCCACCCAGGCGCCCCUCUUAUUCAGUUUUUGUAACUAGAAGAAAAAGCCAGAAGAUCUAAUAUUUCAACAUUCUUCACUUGCCCAGCACUAUGAAAUUAAAAAACAGGCAAGUCUUAAUAUUGACGGACACCGUUUCCCUUGAGAGGCAGUAACUGGAAAUAAGCACAAGGAGCUGCAUCAGCCUUAUAUUUGGGAUCAUACUUCUCUACAAGCCCAGCCAGCCUUUGCCAAGGCUUUGAGAAGAAAUGGAAGCUAGAUCUUUCUCCAUACCGUUUGCAGACAGGGACAUUUUCCACUCCUCUCACCCUCUCAUAUAACAAAACAACAAAGGGGAAGAUGUGAAAUAUAAAGGGUCAAAGUCUGAUCCUUUCAGAUACUGGUCCUGCUUACCAACAGAAGUCCCAUUACCAGGAAUUUGGCUGAGGAUCCACAGCUUCCCCAGAGUGACUUCUCCACAAACUUCCCCUGCACAGCCUCUCCUAUGGCCAGAUAUGCUUAUUCUCUCUAAUUUCUCUGUAAACUCUGGCUGUUUCUCUGACUCUCCAACUUCCCCUUCCAGACUUCAAUUUCCCAGUUCCUCUCAUACUCAUAUAAGGUCCAACUCCUAUUUCAAUAGUAUUUGUGGUAGCUCUGCCUCAAUACCCAUGUUUUCUAAAUCACAUUUCCAAGAUCAAGAACUUUAGUAGUCCAACUCAUUUGUCUCAUGAGUUUCUGAUUCAGUAAAUUUAUGGGAAAAUUUUGCUAUUUGUAUUUUUGAAACUCUGCAUACAUAAUUCUGUCAUGCAAUCCUGCUGGAAACCACUAAUUUAAAAGUCACAAUAAGGAAAAUUAAAAGUUAAACCAAGGGGACUUCACAAUUUAACAUAUGUCCUCAGUGGCUUAGAAUAUCUGCAAAGUAAAAAUCAAAAACAAAAAUGAAAGCAACAGAAAGAAACUGCACAGCCAGGCUGCAAACCUACAUUGUGACUUUAUAAAUUCCAACAAUAAUAAUCAUGUCCAAGCCCCUUUAAGCAUCAGGUUAUAAAACAGAAAUCAGGCACCAGGAAAUAAGAGUGGGCAAAUUCAGAUCCAGGCAGCAAAGGAAAAAGCCAAGCCAGGGUAAGACAGGUAUGUUUUGAGAAGGGCAAUUCAAAGUCAUCGAAAAAAAGAGAUAACACAAACUGCUCUUAAUUUCUUUUCCCCAAGACUGCCCUAAUGUCAAGACUCAUUGAAGACAAAUUAAGACAGCUUUUAGUCCUCAAGAACAAGGAGGAGGAAUGGAGAACAUUCCUGGCCACUGUGAACAAAUUGGAAGGACAUUCCUCAGAAAUGAAAGAAAACUACCUAAAAUGAUCUUGGCUUUUUAUAACGAGCAAAUUAUCAGGCAAAUUUAUACAAAGGAGUCUGCAUUUUCAGAACUCUUGUUUGUACAGUCAUUCUAAGCCUAUAAGUGUGUAUCUUUCAAUUUAAAAAAAUUUUUGUAGGGGUGCCUGGGUGACUCAGUCAGGUAAGCAUCUAACUCUUGAU